AAUUCGCUCCAGACCCUAAACUGAUGUCCUGCUAAGUUGAGAGGUAAACGUUUGCCUUCUCUCACCCUGAUUCGCAAAUUGCUUUGCGGUACGCCGGGAAAACGACACAGGACGUCAGGAGGGGGUCAAUGGCCGGUACGCUAAUAAAUUUAGCGUGGAAUUUUGUCUGAUCUUGAGGAAAAGGGGAAGAGCAAAUACGCAUAUCACCUUAAAUCCAGCAAGAUUUUUAGGGCCACCUGUGCAAAAAUGAGCAGGCUCACUUUUUGUGUGGGGACGAUAAGGAGAAAAAUUGAUGAACACCGAUCUUAAGUUUUCGCUAUGCACCACCAUCAUUGUCCUGGCGCUGAUUGUCGCCGCAGGUCUGACGGCCGCACUGCACUGAUUU
RNAcentral lists this small RNA (385 nucleotides) under uncultured Enterobacter sp. RNAcentral describes it as "Enterobacterial sRNA STnc550". It matches the Rfam family "Enterobacterial sRNA STnc550". Lineage: Bacteria; Pseudomonadati; Pseudomonadota; Gammaproteobacteria; Enterobacterales; Enterobacteriaceae. The record is from RNAcentral.